UCUCGCGGAGUGGACACUUUGGUGGGGGAGACAGAUGUCCAGAAGGACACGCCAUCCAGACACAUAAUCUUGUGAGGGUGAGAGCUCACAUGGUGCUCUGAGUGACAAGGACAGUGGCUGCUCUGUUUGGAGGCUUGGAGAGGCCUCUCUGAGGAGAGGAUGUUUAGGGCAUAGACCUGGUGGUUUCAAGGCUCUUCUGGCACCCGUGAUGAGGAAAGCUGUGAUUCUGUGGCCCCUCUGGCAUUUCCUGGACCUUCGGGCUUCUGAGUCUAUUUGAACUUCAUGGCCAGGUGCCUCUCACUAAUGAAAGGGCCUCCACUGAGAUUUCCUUGGGAACAAAGGAGAGCUCAGUUGUUCUUGAGGCCUCAAAGGGGCCCCUGAGGCAGGCCUGAUGCCCGGCUGUGUGCAAGGACCAGAGGAGUGGCUGCCCAGCCUGGAGGCAGGUGCUGGCUGGACUGACCUCCUGGGACCCACUUAAGCUUUCUACAAACAACACAUCAUCUGGGCUGAGUGGGGGGUUCUCGGGGCAAAAAAAAAAAAAAAAGUCUUCUACGGAAGCUGCCUUGUGACUUGGCCCUGAGCUCAGGCAGGGUGGGGACCCUGAGCACCAGAGAGGUCAUUGUUCCGUGAAAGCCAAGGCGGCAACCCCUCCCUCUUCCCCUUCUUGUGCUUGGAACCUCCAGACCCCUGGACUCCCAGGGGAGCCCAGGGAGUCAGUGUAUGAGGUGCUGAAGCCAAGUCCUUCCAGAGCUUGGGGGAAGGUCAGUUGGUUUAUAAAUCACCUGAAUUUCAUCAGGGUCACCAUGGGGGAGCUUCAUGCAUUUUUCA
RNAcentral lists this long non-coding RNA (828 nucleotides) under Homo sapiens (human). RNAcentral's name for it is "long non-coding RNA NONHSAT195771.1". The record is from RNAcentral. Lineage: Eukaryota; Metazoa; Chordata; Mammalia; Primates; Hominidae.